GACGAACGCUGGCGGCGUGCCUAAUACAUGCAAGUAGAACGCUGACGGAGGAGCUUGCUUCUCUGGAUGAGUUGCGAACGGGUGAGUAACGCGUAGGUAACCUGCCUGGUAGCGGGGGAUAACUAUUGGAAACGAUAGCUAAUACCGCAUAAGAGUAGAUGUUGCAUGACAUUUGCUUAAAAGGUGCAAUUGCAUCACUACCAGAUGGCCCGGCGUUGUAUUAGCUAGUUGGGGGGGUACCGGCCCACAAAGGCGACGCUACAUAGCCGACCUGAGAGGGUGACCGCCAAAAUUGGAACGGGGAACCGCCCAAGCCUCUUAGGGGAGCAGCAGUAGGGGAUCAUCGGAAAUGGACGGAAGUCUGACCGAGCAACGCCGCGGGAGUGGAGAAGGGUCUCGGGUCGUAAAGCUCUGUUGGUAGAGAAGAAAGAGUAUCAGAUUGGAAAGUUCACACUGUGACGGUAUCUAAACAGAAAGGAACGGCUAACUACGUG
Molecule: ribosomal RNA, 494 nt
Filed under: uncultured bacterium
Lineage: Bacteria
Description: partial 16S ribosomal RNA
Rfam family: Bacterial small subunit ribosomal RNA
Source: RNAcentral